UACGUAGGGGGCAAGCGUUAUCCGGAUUUACUGGGUGUAAAGGGAGCGUAGACGGCUGUGCAAGUCUGAAGUGGAAGCCCAGGGCUCAACCCUGGGACUGCUUUGGAAACUGUGGAGCUAGAGUGCUGGAGAGGUAAGUGGAAUUCCUAGUGUAGCGGUGAAAUGCGUAGAUAUUAGGAGGAACACCAGUGGCGAAGGCGGCUUACUGGACAGUAACUGACGUUGAGGCUCGAAAGCGUGGGGAGCAAACAGG
Molecule: ribosomal RNA, 253 nt
Filed under: uncultured bacterium
Lineage: Bacteria
Description: partial 16S ribosomal RNA
Rfam family: Bacterial small subunit ribosomal RNA
Source: RNAcentral